CUUCGAAGUAGUUGCAUGUUUGGAAUCAGCUGAAAUGAAAAUAAGCUAGACAUGUAUCUACUUAUUGAAUUUCUGAUAAACUUUUGUUUUCUUUUUAAACUUGUUUUUAGCGAGAUGUACUGGAUCCACCAGAGGAUUGUUUCCGCAUCAGAAUGGUUAUCAUUCUUCUGGAGACCUGUGGACACUACUUCGACCGAGGUUCUUCUAAGAGGAAA
RNAcentral lists this unclassified non-coding RNA (215 nucleotides) under Hevea brasiliensis (rubber tree). Lineage: Eukaryota; Viridiplantae; Streptophyta; Magnoliopsida; Malpighiales; Euphorbiaceae. The record is from RNAcentral.